CCUAGACCAAAACAAAAAUCCUAUGCAACUUCAGCCCACAAAUUGGGUCGGGUCAGCUAAAAUUGAGUCGGCUCAAUAUGCUACUGAGUCGACUCAUUUCUGGACUGAGUCAACUAACUCUACUGGCACCUGCAGACUCCCGAAAGUGCACUCUCUGUCUGUUCUCACAGUUAGUCGGCUCAGCUAGGACUGAGCCGACCCACCUGGACUGAGCCGACUCCAUCUGACACUGAGUCGACUCACUUUUCAUACC
Molecule: long non-coding RNA, 253 nt
Filed under: Elaeis guineensis (African oil palm)
Lineage: Eukaryota; Viridiplantae; Streptophyta; Magnoliopsida; Arecales; Arecaceae
Description: long non-coding RNA (EGUI_LNC036107)
Source: RNAcentral